UAUAUUAUAUAAAUAAGUAAAGAAACAUAAGAAACAGAAUGAAAGCAAACGAAACAGAGAAGAAACAGGGGAGAAAGAAAGAAAGGAAAAGAAAAAGGAAAAUUUGGGUUUCAAGGCUCAAAGUUUAAUUUGUCAAUGUGGUACCGGAAAUCUCGGCUAAGAAAGGACAAGACAAAGUCAACGGGAGUUAGCUUGAAAAUUACGGUUUAGUAAAGAUAGAACGUUGAAUCAGCAUCCCAGUUCGAUCCCGAAUUCAUUAAGGUAAAGUGUGUUAAUUAUUGGUAAUGGCAUGUACCUAGGAUGUUUUAUGAGAGUCAUUUAGGUUGUAGAUGUACUCAUGAAAUGAGUAAAUUAUGGUUGGCAACGGUAUGUAGUAUGAAUUUUGAAAUUUACUAAAAAUUCGUAGUGAUUCUAAA
This is a long non-coding RNA of Gossypium arboreum, 416 nucleotides long. RefSeq lists it as uncharacterized. The record is from RefSeq and is a predicted model, not a curated record. NCBI's taxonomy places the organism in Eukaryota, Viridiplantae, Streptophyta, Magnoliopsida, Malvales, Malvaceae. The transcript is spliced from 3 exons.